Molecule: transfer RNA, 77 nt
Filed under: subsurface metagenome
Description: tRNA-Met
Rfam family: tRNA
About the family: Transfer RNA (tRNA) molecules are approximately 80 nucleotides in length. Their secondary structure includes four short double-helical elements and three loops (D, anti-codon, and T loops).
Source: RNAcentral
CGCGGGGUAGAGCAGAAGGUCAGCUCGGCGGUUCCAUAAACCGCAGGUCGCAGGUUCGAAUCCUGCCCCCGCUACCA